CAGUCGCCGCGGGAAUACAGAGGGUGCGAGCGUUAAUCGGAUUUACUGGGCGUAAAGCGUGCGUAGGCGGCUUCUUAAGUCGGAUGUGAAAUCCCUGAGCUUAACUUAGGAAUUGCAUUCGAUACUGGGAAGCUAGAGUAUGGGAGAGGAUGGUAGAAUUCCAGGUGUAGCGGUGAAAUGCGUAGAGAUCUGGAGGAAUACCGAUGGCGAAGGCAGCCAUCUGGCCUAAUACUGACGCUGAGGUACGAAAGCAUGGGGAGCAAACAGGAUUAAAUACCCCCGUAGUCCCUGUCUCUUAUAC
RNAcentral lists this ribosomal RNA (301 nucleotides) under uncultured bacterium. RNAcentral describes it as "partial 16S ribosomal RNA". It matches the Rfam family "Bacterial small subunit ribosomal RNA", at positions 509 to 807 of the family's 1533-position model. The record is from RNAcentral.